UGAGAAUUUGAUCUUGGUUCAGAUUGAACGCUGGCGGCGUGGAUGAGGCAUGCAAGUCGAACGGAAUAAUGACUUCGGUUGUUAUUUAGUGGCGGAAGGGUUAGUAAUACAUAGAUAAUCUGUCCUCAACUUGGGAAUAACGGUUGGAAACGACCGCUAAUACCGAAUGUGGUAUGUUUAGGCAUCUAAAACAUAUUAAAGAAGGGGAUCUUCGGACCUUUCGGUUGAGGGAGAGUCUAUGGGAUAUCAGCUUGUUGGUGGGGUAAUGGCCUACCAAGGCUUUGACGUCUAGGCGGAUUGAGAGAUUGACCGCCAACACUGGGACUGAGACACUGCCCAGACUUCUACGGAAGGCUGCAGUCGAGAAUCUUUCGCAAUGGACGAAAGUCUGACGAAGCGACGCCGCGUGUGUGAUGAAGGCUCUAGGGUUGUAAAGCACUUUCGCUUGGGAAUAAGAGAGAUUGGCUAAUAUCCAAUCGAUUUGAGCGUACCAGGUAAAGAAGCACCGGCUAACUCCGUGCCAGCAGCUGCGGUAAUACGGAGGGUGCUAGCGUUAAUCGGAUUUAUUGGGCGUAAAGGGCGUGUAGGCGGAAAGGAAAGUUAGAUGUUAAAUCUUGGGGCUCAACCCCAAGCCAGCAUCUAAUACUAUCUUUCUAGAGGGUAGAUGGAGAAAAGGGAAUUCCACGUGUAGCGGUGAAAUGCGUAGAUAUGUGGAAGAACACCAGUGGCGAAGGCGCUUUUCUAAUUUACACCUGACGCUAAGGCGCGAAAGCAAGGGGAGCAAACAGGAUUAGAUACCCUGGUAGUCCUUGCCGUAAACGAUGCAUACUUGAUGUGGAUAGUCUCAACCCUAUCCGUGUCGUAGCUAACGCGUUAAGUAUGCCGCCUGAGGAGUACACUCGCAAGGGUGAAACUCAAAAGAAUUGACGGGGGCCCGCACAAGCAGUGGAGCAUGUGGUUUAAUUCGAUGCAACGCGAAGAACCUUACCUGGGCUUGACAUGUAUUUGACCGCGGCAGAAAUGUCGUUUUCCGCAAGGACAGAUACACAGGUGCUGCAUGGCUGUCGUCAGCUCGUGCCGUGAGGUGUUGGGUUAAGUCCCGCAACGAGCGCAACCCUUAUCGUUAGUUGCCAACACUUAGGGUGGGAACUCUAACGAGACUGCCUGGGUUAACCAGGAGGAAGGCGAGGAUGACGUCAAGUCAGCAUGGCCCUUAUGCCCAGGGCUACACACGUGCUACAAUGGCCAGUACAGAAGGUAGCAAUAUCGUGAGAUGGAGCAAAUCCUCAAAGCUGGCCCCAGUUCGGAUUGUAGUCUGCAACUCGACUACAUGAAGUCGGAAUUGCUAGUAAUGGCGUGUCAGCUAUAACGCCGUGAAUACGUUCCCGGGCCUUGUACACACCGCCCGUCACAUCAUGGGAGUUGGUUUUGCCUUAAGUCGUUGACUCAACCUGCAAAGGAGAGAGGCGCCCAAGGUGAGGCUGAUGACUGGGAUGAAGUCGUAACAAGGUAGCCCUACCGGAAGGUGGGGCUGGAUCACCUCCUUUU
This 1548-nucleotide ribosomal RNA is filed under the name Chlamydia psittaci. RNAcentral's name for it is "bacterial SSU rRNA". It matches the Rfam family "Bacterial small subunit ribosomal RNA". The record is from RNAcentral. Lineage: Bacteria; Pseudomonadati; Chlamydiota; Chlamydiia; Chlamydiales; Chlamydiaceae.